CCCCCCCCCCCCGCGACCCCAAAAGGGACAAGUGGUAGAAAAUGGAUGGAUAUUGCUUACAAAGUCAAGUCAAACAGGUGUCGCAUCAUAAAUCUUCCCUAAGGCUUUGAACACUCGAGCCCACCUCCUGCGAGCCGGAGAGUAACGGGGCACCGUGCAUCCGAAAUAUCAACGGUGCCAGGUUGAAAGGCACAAAAUAAGAGAUGCCUUAAUGGUGCGAGGGCUGACAUGUUUGCCUUCUGGGAAUCCGGCUGCUUUGGGGAAGAAGAAGAAGAAAAAGACGAAGAGGCACCGGUUCCUCCCAAGGGUGCCUCACACAGAGUUAAGCUCGUCAACAGAGCCCGCCUGUCCGAGCCCCAAUGAACACACACAUCCACUGGACAGCUCCAGCACCUUCUCAUUAGGGUCCAAUCUCUCACAGGCCGCUCGCUCAGAACCACGGCAACGUGGCCGCCCGUGCUGGCGAGGCAACCCC
Molecule: long non-coding RNA, 475 nt
Organism: Entelurus aequoreus (snake pipefish)
Lineage: Eukaryota; Metazoa; Chordata; Actinopteri; Syngnathiformes; Syngnathidae
Exons: 4
Source: RefSeq, a predicted model, not a curated record